AAUGAAGUGAGCUCCAGGAAGGAGGAAUGUGUGUCAGGCCAGAGGCCCCGAGGAGGCAGUGACACAUUUACCUCAGGAGAAGCAGAGCUGGAGCCCAGGACCUGAGGACUCAGUAAUUGAGAGUGUUUGAGCCCGCCUGGGGAGCUCUCCACAAAUACAGUUGUCCACCUGGGUAGCUGAGGAGGAUUAAAAAUAGCCCAGCAAGAUGUUGGCUUAUCCCUGAGAGAACAGAAUUAGUUGUCUGGAAAGACAGAGCAUAUUAGAGGAGGAUGAAAGCUCACUUUGGAACCUGGGUAAAGUGUGCAUGGGAUCCUGGAAAUCACUGCAUCUAAUGAGAGUCUGGCUGCUGCUGCAGAGUUAUCUUUGCUUCUCUUUGACUCUUUAAUUGCUGGUAAUAGCCAAACUUGGUUUCCUGCUGGCUGGGUCUGAAGUCCUUCAUCUUGUUUGGAGCAAUGAGAAAUCACCAGGAUAAAGCUGUGCUGUUAAUAUCCAAGGAAUAUGGCUAACCAGCUGCCAUCAAUCUUCAUGCAAACUAGACAUUCAGCCUUAAACUGCAUCAUCCUUAACGGAGUGAUGCAGUUAAGCAAGCAUCAAGUGGCCCCAGGGCAAAGAUGUUUCAGUUUCAUUGAGCUUUUUUUUUUUGAUCUGGCAAGAGCCAGGUCUUGGGUUUUGGUAAUCUGAGUCCUCCAGAAGGUGAUGCUGCAGGGGAUGGGGUCACACACCUGAGAGAGCUGCCCAUGGCCUUGUGCCAGGCUGGCCUUGGCACCAAGCACCCCAGAGGAGCUGGGUGAGGAAUUCUGCUCUUCCUGGCCUUCCCCUGGCUCUGCACAGAGGUUUAGCAGCUCCAGGGAUGGUUUCCUGUGGUUCCUGGCACACACAGGAGAGGUUCUGGCCUUGAUGCUUUGAUGGAGGGCUUGGCACUCUCUGCUCUGCUCAGAGCAGCUUGGCUGGUGUUGGCAGUACAAACAGGGCCCUUUCUCCCUGCAGGAGGGUAAUAACUAACCAGGGAUCCCUCUGAGCAGCCUGGGGAGAGAAAUCAAUCAGUGGAAAUCCCAGCUGAAGCACAGAAGAGAGGAUCUAAAUUUAGUGCAGGCUGCCUGGGGCUCCUGAGGUUUGUGGCUGCUGGGGCAGUUGCUCGAAAGCUGAGCCUGCAUCCAAAGGCUGCAGGCAAUGCAGGAGAGCAACACACUCUGCUGUACUUCCAGCUCCAGACAAACCCCGUGAUUUCUCAGUGACCUGUUGUUUUGCCCUUGGCAUUCCCCAGCAGAAGAGUCAGCAGGUUGGCAUCUCCACUGGAAACAAGUCAGUACAGCUCCUGCUUGGGACUGAGAAUGUUGAGUCUUUUAAAGGAAAAAAAUAAAAUCCACACUUCCUUUAGACACUGCUUGUUACUUUUUCUCAAGAGACAAUUUGUGGAUGCUACACUUAGGCCUGGAAGCAAACUAGAAACCUUGCUAAGUCUCCAAACUUCAAAUUACAGCAGAACACGUUCCUGGGGCUGAUAAAAGCUGCCAAGGACUCUCAGUUUGGAAAGCCAGCAGCACUGAAAAUUGAAUUCCUGGGGAAGAGAAACUGUGACCAGAGGAAAUUGCUGCUGCUCACUGAGGAUGGAAUGGCUCUUGCUGUAACCUGAAUUUGGUGCCAUCAACCCCAACAUCAGCACUAGGACCAAACUCCUGCAGGUUUUGCUCACUGAUUUCAAAGCAAUCCUUCCUUCAGUGCCCAUGGAGUGGUGGAAAGGACUCCAGAUGAGUGAGAGGCACAAAGAAAAAGUACUUGCAGUGAUCUACUUGCCCAUUAAAUGUUCUCUGGAAGGGGUCAUUGUUAAUGUUGCUGCUUCCCAUCUAAACAGGAACACAGAGCCCUCCUUGACAGGGAGUUUAGCAGAGCUGAAGGGAUUAGGGGGUGUUACAAUAUCUCACUUCUAAAAAGUUAAUGUAUUAGGGGAGUGUGAGUCUAGACACGUAUUGCAAGACUGAUUUAGGAUCUUAAAGUGGAUUCUGCCUUUCAUUCUGGCUUUUAUUAAAAGCUUUGUAGUACAUCUUUAAAGAGCCACUAAAGCCACAGUGAAAACAUAAAGGAGGAAAUAAUAGAAGCAGAAAGAUUUUUUUUUUUAAAAAUGGAUUUCUUCCCCCAUUUUCUCUCUUGCCCCUACUCAGAGUUGAAAGCCAUUUGCAUAAAAACAUGAUGUUCAUUUUUUUUCCUUUAAAAACACAACUCACUUCCUCCUAACUCUCUUCCCCUGAAAGCUGGGGGUCACCGUGCAAGAUUAAUGCCAGACUGUGGAGCAGCAGAAUGCCUCAAAUUCAGAAGUUCAUCCAAACUUCCUCCAGCUGCAGAGUGGUUGAGAUAGGAGCAAGCUGGGGGAAUUUGAGACAAGGUAAUCGGUCCUCUGAAGGAGUUGGAGUAGCUGCCAAAAGAUGAUGGACAAGGAUGCUGUGUAGAUUUAUGGAGGGUGUGGGUUUUGCUGCAGUUGGUGAGAAAAUACCUAUAGGAACACAGAUCUGCAGAACCUUGGAGAACACAGUUAUUUGUGUGGGCAGGUCCAGCUAAACAUGCUGAAUUAGAGUUAUUUCACCUCUAAUUUUGGAAAGAAAAAUAGCCUGGCACCCAACUUGAGGGAUACCUGAGGUCUGCUUUUGCAGGCAAAACCAUCCUGAGAUGGAAGAACAUCUGCUGUUCAUUUUUAUUUUAUCUUUUUUUUCUCCCAGUCUCUUAACUUCUUAGAGUCCUUUCAACUCCCAGGCACCCAAACCACUGAAAGCAGGACUGCCUGGCUUCAGGUGAGGAGGGAACAGCAGGAACAGAUGGAUUCCUCAGCACCAGAGCCUGGUUUCCAUGCCAAUCGAGCCUGCUGACAGAGAACAAGGAGUCAAACUCUGCUGACAAAAGAUGUGGGAGCUGCUGGCUGAAAAUUUCCCGAGGCUCUGGUGGUUCCAUACCA
This is a long non-coding RNA of Passer montanus (Eurasian tree sparrow), 2944 nucleotides long. RefSeq lists it as uncharacterized. The record is from RefSeq and is a predicted model, not a curated record. The transcript has 3 exons. NCBI's taxonomy places the organism in Eukaryota, Metazoa, Chordata, Aves, Passeriformes, Passeridae.